Molecule: ribosomal RNA, 433 nt
Filed under: uncultured bacterium
Lineage: Bacteria
Description: partial 16S ribosomal RNA
Rfam family: Bacterial small subunit ribosomal RNA
Source: RNAcentral
AACGAACGCUGGCGGCAUGCCUAACACAUGCAAGUCGAACGAGACCUUCGGGUCUAGUGGCGCACGGGUGUGUAACGCGUGGGAACCUGCCCUUAGGUUCGGAAUAACUCCCCGAAAGGGGUGCUAAUACCGGAUAAUGUCUUCGGACCAAAGAUUUAUCGCCUUUGGAUGGGCCCGCGUUGGAUUAGCUAGUUGGUAGGGUAAAAGCCUACCAAGGCGACGAUCCAUAGCUGGUCUGAGAGGAUGAUCAGCCACACUGGGACUGAGACACGGCCCAGACUCCUACGGGAAGCAGCAGUGGGGAAUAUUGGACAAUGGGCGAAAGCCUGAUCCAGCAAUGCCGCGUGAGUGAUGAAGGCCUUAGGGUUGUAAAGCUCUUUUACCCGGGAUGAUAAUGACAGUACCGGGAGAAUAAGCUCCGGCUAACUCCGUG